UUACUGGGUGUAAAGGGCGAGUAGGCGGAUUGGCAAGUUGGGGGUGAAAUGUCGGGGCUUAACCCGCGGAACUGCUUCCAAAACUGUUGAUCUUGAGUGAAGUAGAGGUAAGCGGAAUUCCUGGUGUAGCGGUGAAAUGCGUAGAGAUCAGGAGGAACAUCGGUGGCGAAGGCGGCUUACUGGGCUUUAACUGACGCUGAGGCUCGAAAGCGUGGGGAGCAAACAGGAUUAGAUACCCUGGUAGUCCACGCUGUAAACGAUGAUUACUAGGUGUGGGGGGACCGACUCCUUCCGUGCCGCAGUUAACACAAUAAGUAAUCCACCUGGGGAGUACGACCGCAAGGUUGAAACUCAAAGGAAUUGACGGGGGCCCGCACAAGCAGUGGAGUACGUGGUUUAAUUCGAAGCAACGCGAAGAACCUUACCAGGUCUUGACAUCGAGUGGCGUAUACAGAGAUGUAUAUUUCCCUUCGGGGACACGAAGACAGGUGGUGCAUGGUUGUCGUCAGCUCGUGUCGUGAGAUGUUGGGUUAAGUCCCGCAACGAGCGCAACCCUUAUCAUUAGUUGCUACGCAAGAGCACUCUAAUGAGACUGCCGUUGACAAAACGGAGGAAGGUGGGGAUGACGUCAAAUCAUCAUGCCCUUUAUGACCUGGGCUACACACGUACUACAAUGGCAAUAAACAGAGGGAAGCAAGAUAGUGAUAUGGAGCAAAUCCCAAAAAAUUGUCCCAGUUCAGAUUGCAGGCUGCAACUCGCCUGCAUGAAGGUGGAAUUGCUAGUAAU
RNAcentral lists this ribosomal RNA (786 nucleotides) under uncultured Bacillota bacterium. RNAcentral's name for it is "bacterial SSU rRNA". It matches the Rfam family "Bacterial small subunit ribosomal RNA", at positions 551 to 1342 of the family's 1533-position model. Lineage: Bacteria; Bacillati; Bacillota. The record is from RNAcentral.